AGAGUUUGAUCAUGGCUCAGGACGAACGCUGGCGGCGUGCUUAACACAUGCAAGUCGAACGGGGUAUGCGAGGAGCUUGCUUUGAGCAUACUUAAGUGGCGGACGGGUGAGUAACGCGUGAGGAUCUGUCCUAUACAGGGGGGACAACAGAUGGAAACGUCUGCUAAUACCGCAUAAGCCUAAGGGUAAAAGGAGAGAUUCGGUAUAGGAGGAACUCGCGUCCUAUCAGCUAGUAGGUGAGGUAACGGCUCACCUAGGCGAAGACGGGUAGCCGGCCUGAGAGGGCGAACGGCCACACUGGAACUGAGAUACGGUCCAGACUCCUACGGGAGGCAGCAGUGGGGAAUAUUGGGCAAUGGGGGAAACCCUGACCCAGCGACGUCGCGUGAGUGAAGAAAUCCCUCGGGAUGUAAAGCUCUGUUGUACGGGAAGAGAAGCAGACGGUACCGUACGAGGAAGCCCCGGCAAACUACGUGCCAGCAGCCGCGGUAAUACGUAGGGGGCAAGCGUUUGUCCGGAAUUACUGGGCGUAAAGCGCACGCAGGCGGCCAUCAAGUCGGUUGUAAAAGGCAGUGGCUCAACUACUGUAAGACGGCGAUACUGACGAGCUAAGUAUUGUGAGAGGAAGCGGAAUUCCCCGGUGUACGGUGAAUGCGU
Molecule: ribosomal RNA, 657 nt
Filed under: uncultured bacterium
Lineage: Bacteria
Description: bacterial SSU rRNA
Rfam family: Bacterial small subunit ribosomal RNA
Source: RNAcentral